RNAcentral lists this ribosomal RNA (406 nucleotides) under uncultured bacterium. RNAcentral describes it as "bacterial SSU rRNA". It matches the Rfam family "Bacterial small subunit ribosomal RNA", at positions 354 to 776 of the family's 1533-position model. The record is from RNAcentral.
GCAGGGAAUCUUGCGCAAUGGGCGAAAGCCUGACGCAGCGACACCGCGUGGGGGAAGACGGCCCUAGGGUUGUAAACCCCUUUUCUCGGGGACGAGAACGGACGGUACCCGAGGAAUAAGCCUCGGCUAACUACGUGCCAGCAGCCGCGGUAAUACGUAGGAGGCGAGCGUUGUCCGGAUUUACUGGGCGUAAAGGGCGAGUAGGCGGCCCGGCAAGUCUCAUGUGAAAUCUUCCGGCUCAACUGGAAGCGGUCAUGGGAAACUGCCAGGCUUGAGGGCAGCAGAGGAAAGUGGAAUUCCCGGAGUAGUGGUGAAAUGCGUAGAUACCGGGAGGAACACCAGUGGCGGAGGCGGCUUUCUGGGCUGUACCUGACGCUGAGGCGCGAAAGCAUGGGGAGCAAACCGG